AUUCAGCUGAAGAGUCGCAAAUAUGAUGAGACGCGCAUCCUGGAU
RNAcentral lists this non-coding RNA (45 nucleotides) under Schistosoma mansoni. The record is from RNAcentral. Lineage: Eukaryota; Metazoa; Platyhelminthes; Trematoda; Strigeidida; Schistosomatidae.